AUCCAGCUGACGAGUCCCAAAUAGGAAGAAACGCGUUCUAGAU
This 43-nucleotide non-coding RNA is filed under the name Schistosoma haematobium. The record is from RNAcentral. Lineage: Eukaryota; Metazoa; Platyhelminthes; Trematoda; Strigeidida; Schistosomatidae.